Molecule: regulatory RNA element, 80 nt
Organism: Aequorivita viscosa
Lineage: Bacteria; Pseudomonadati; Bacteroidota; Flavobacteriia; Flavobacteriales; Flavobacteriaceae
Rfam family: S15-Flavobacteria ribosomal protein leader
Source: Rfam
UACUUUUGCAGCCUUGAUUACAAUCCCGAAGCCGUCGGGAGUAUUCAAUACAUAAAAAUCAUUUUAAUAAUAUUGGCAUG